Molecule: long non-coding RNA, 1720 nt
Filed under: Chrysemys picta bellii (western painted turtle)
Lineage: Eukaryota; Metazoa; Chordata; Testudines; Emydidae
Description: lncRNA (ENSCPBG00000016114.1)
Source: RNAcentral
CUCGACCACUUAAGGAUCCAGCUGGACUCCUGCCGCGAGUCGGAAAGCAAGGCCAGAGAGAUGCUGGAAAGCGCCAACAGGCACCUUGGAGAAAUGCAGGCCGAGCUGCAGAGACAACGAGAGCAAGCAGACAGCAACCGACAGAUACGAGAUAUCGGUAUCGGUCUGAUGUUUAUUCCUAUCGUGGGGACAAUUGCUGGCUCCAUCAUGGUCGGCUGUGGGCAGGUAGCUUUGGAUGCCGCUGAGAAAGCCGCACGCGAGGCCCAGGAUGCCGUUGAUCGAUACACGAACGAAGUGUCCAGUUACUCAGCAGAAGUCUGCAGGUACGACGAACAGGAGCGGCAGGUGGAGGCCGAGAUCGCGGCAAAUGAGCAGCGACUGAUUCAGAUCAACGCGGAGCAACAGGCGUUGGCCGUGCUACAGGGGGAGAUCAUCACCCUGCAGAACGGGCUGAGGAAAUGUGUUACCUUCAUGAAUGGGCUAGCAGGGAAGGUCCGCGUGGCUAAGAGGCUCACCGAGGACCUGCUGAUGUUUGAGGAGCUAGCCAGUGUCCUCGGAGAGAUCGUCCAGCAGGUGCUGCCCCUAAUGAGCCCAGGAGGUGAGGCCGGCACGAGAUUCCUGGCCGCGGGGGAACUCGAGGGCCUCAUUGAGAAGUUAAAGUCGGGCGGUCGCAGCCUCAGAGCCCUGGCAGACACCGAGGCAGCAGCAAUUGAGUUUUAGGGCCACGAUUUCAAAAGCCGAAGACCCAGGCUCACAGCUGGGCUACGGCGAGCGUAUGGGUUUCCCUCUACGUUUGAGAAUCGUACCGGGCUACAAUGCUGGUUAGUUGGGCUGCCCCUUCCAAGAUCCAACACCCCCUCCCCCAAAAUAGCCUUUGCCCCUCACCUCCACCAUCCUGACCCUCUUCUUCCUCUCUCAGGCAACCCCUGGGGCUCAAACCCCAUCCCCGCGCCCCUGUACCCGCUCCUGACUCCCCCUGCUGGUGAGCCUGGCGUCCCACCCUCCCUUCUCCACCACGUGUCCCGGCACAGUCCUCCCAAGGUCUCUGCGCGGCCACGUGGCUUAUGAGUGAAAACCCCCCUGGUGCAUGGCAACCAGCAGGAGAAAAACCAGCCAGGUGUCAACCCCAGCUAGGGCUGUGCCAUUUUAACUGACACGGAGAAACCAGCACAGCCCCCUGGGUGCAAACAGUUAUACUGGUGUAAAGGGGCCUUUACUGGUUUAGCUUAGUCCCCUUCCCCUGUGGGAAUAGGCACCGACAUGCCAGUGUAGCUGCCUCCACACUGCAGUGGGAUAGCUAGACGGGAUGAGCUAAAGCAGUACAACUUCCUCGUGUAGACAAGACCUAAAUUGUUUUUACAUGGUGGAGUAAAACCAUUGCAACCCCCCUGUGGAUACGCUUUGUUCUGGUUGAGGAGUAACCAGUGUGAAGCUUGAUCUAUGCUUAAAACUUCUACGGGCAUUGUUGUGUUGGGCAGGGUGUAAAAACAACAACACUCCCCCCCCCACCCACACACACACCCCAUGGCUGUGCUGGUAAAACCCCCAAUGCAGACACAACUGUGUCAACAGAGGAGCGCUUCCAGCGGAUUCACUAUCAUCUUUUCGGGAGGUGGUGCUUGUUGUACCAUCCGAAAAGCUCCUGGUGUUGGCGUGAGCUGCGUCUACACCAGGGAACCCUGCCGGGUUUGCUACACUGACUGUCUCUGCAAUUUAGUUU